This is a non-coding RNA of Drosophila virilis, 1296 nucleotides long. Lineage: Eukaryota; Metazoa; Arthropoda; Insecta; Diptera; Drosophilidae. The record is from RefSeq and is a predicted model, not a curated record.
UAUAGUUGGAAAUUGUAAUAAAACUGUAAUCAAUCUAUGCUUUGAAUAUAAUUUAUAUAAAUACAUAUUUUUCUUUUCAGAUCCAUGCUGCUGCCAAUCUUCAACUGAAAAACUUGACAACGAAUAAACAAAUAAUCGCAGGACUUUGCCCAACCUCACACUCAGAAUGCAAAUGGAAGACUUUAUAAAGUCUGGCUUUUGUGCGAGCGAACGGACAUAAUCUUUUGCGAAAUUAUCACAGAAAUUGCACAAAGCAGAUACAAAUUAUGACGCUCAGAAAUAAAACACUCGGAAAAGGUGGAAAGGAAAAGGACUGUAUUUAUGCUUUAUUUUUCAUUGCUUCAAAUUGAAAAUUCUCUAACUGGAAUCCCAGCUUAGAAUUUAUAAAAUAAUCAAAUUGUUUUGAUCAGCUGAAAUUAUUGUUAGUAAUUGCUUCCUGUUUGCAUUAAUAUUAAAAAGUCACUUAGCCGGAACAAAAGAAGUUUUUUACAAUGUAUAAAGAUAAACUGAGCUGAACUCUGACUCUGACUCUGUUGUCGACGAAAUGGAGUGCAUUUUAAAUACAUAAAUUUAUGUAUUACACAUAAUUUAAUGCAAUUAAUUGAACAUUAAAAGUGCAAUGGAAAAUGCACAGCACGACGCAAGAAUGAAAACAAACGAUCCGGAUAAUUUAUGAACAACAGAAACCUCUGAUGAAAUUUGAUUAAAAAUAAUGGUUAUAUAUAUUUAUAUUGUCAUAAGUAGGUGGAGACUCGCUGUGUUCGCGGAGCGGAGAGCAUAAUUAAAAUGUCAAACAUGGCAUAAAUCAUGCUGUUGGUUAAUGCACUGUGCGUGUGUUCACUGCGUGUGCUAAAAUUUUAAUUGCAUUUUCAUUAAAAUCAAUAAAAUGCGAAACUCCCCGAAAUAUCUGCCCACCCAUUCGAUUGCCCUUCGCAGCUGAGGAAAGUGCACUUUAUGCAACCGGGCCCCAAAAAUGGCACUUCAUUGCGCAAAGAACUUUUACAGUCAGCCAGGUGCGAGUGCUUCAAAAUGAAAAAACUAAUGAAAAUGCAAGCAGCAACGAAAAGCGGCCAAGACACACAGAGGCAUGGGCAGGAGCAAAGGGGCAAUAGGAGCAAAGAGGGUUUUGGUACCAGCUAGUAGAUGUGCUGCCCAGUGCAAAUGGAAAUUAGAUUGCCCCGACGCCAGUUUGCCAGACAAAACUUGAUACAAGUUCUUUUUUUCUUUUUUGCAUACCCUAUGCUCAUAAAAUUGUUAACAAAAGUCUAAUAAAAUUUAGCAAAGCUAUGUAACAAA